Molecule: ribosomal RNA, 453 nt
Filed under: uncultured bacterium
Lineage: Bacteria
Description: bacterial SSU rRNA
Rfam family: Bacterial small subunit ribosomal RNA
Source: RNAcentral
UACGGAAGGCAGUAGUGGGGAAUAUUGCACAAUGGGCGCAAGCCUGAUGCAGCCAUGCCGCGUGUAUGAAAAAGGCCUUCGGGUUGUAAAGUACUUUCAGUCGUGAGGAAGGUGUUAAGGUUAAUAACCUUAGCAAUUGACGUUAGCGACAGAAGAAGCACCGGCUAACUCCGUGCCAGCAGCCGCGGUAAUACGGAGGGUGCGAGCGUUAAUCGGAAUUACUGGGCGUAAAGGGCACGCAGGCGGUUAAUUAAGUUGGAUGUGAAAUCCCCGGGCUUAACCUGGGAAUGGCAUUCAAGACUGGUUAGCUAGAGUCUUGUAGAGGGGGUAGAAUUCCAUGUGUAGCGGUGAAAUGCGUAGAGAUGUGGAGGAAUACCGGUGGCGAAGGCGGCCCCUGGACAAAGACUGACGCUCAUGUGCGAAAGCGUGGGGAGCAAACAGGGAUUAGAUACC